UUCCCUGUCGCUCAGUUGGUAGAGCAUGGUGUUUGUAAUGCCAGAGUUGUGGGUUUGAUUCCCAUCGAGGGGC
Molecule: transfer RNA, 73 nt
Filed under: Salmo salar (Atlantic salmon)
Lineage: Eukaryota; Metazoa; Chordata; Actinopteri; Salmoniformes; Salmonidae
Rfam family: tRNA
About the family: Transfer RNA (tRNA) molecules are approximately 80 nucleotides in length. Their secondary structure includes four short double-helical elements and three loops (D, anti-codon, and T loops).
Source: Rfam by way of RNAcentral